CGCCAACCCGUGAAGGCGAGAAAGUGUCGACACGGAGUUCAAUACAACGUGCAUGUUAACUUUGGUAACUUGAGGUCUCUUUUCCACAGGCGCGGCGGUCUGUGUGGAUGACGCCUACCUAGAAGGAUGCCCCGCUUAUCGUCUCGCAGGAAUUGGCUUUCCCAUUGAGGACAAAAACCGAUCAUUUUCCUUCAGAGCAGAAAGGAUCUCCAAUGUCACAAUUUGGCUCCCUAGGCGUAAAUUCACGAAUCCAGCGGAGAUCAAGUGGUUUCAAAUCAAGGCUUGGAAAAAGGAGUCGAAGUUCUGUGCUGCUGUUCCUGGACUAAGCGAAGAGGAGUGUCAUGAAGAUCGACGCCGUGUUCUUGUAAAAUCGGAUUCUCCUCUUUGGUUCAAGAUGGACUGUGUUAAUGCUUCCCACAGCUGUCGCUUCCAUCGUCUCGACUAUGUCCGUCUUCGUCCUGGUGCAAGCGAUGGCGUGGUGGCCUGGAAGCCUGGGGAACAAACACGCGAAUUUUUUGUAGCCGUUUUCCGUCUCCCUUCCAAGAGAAGGAGUCAAUCAAAACGCUUACCUCUGAAACCAACAUCAAGAGUCAUUGGACCGCGUUCUCAUUAUAACAUCACAGUCCGCCGUGAUCAUGGUGGAAUCCCGUGUGGCGUCUACAGUCUUCAGUUGAACCUGAAUAUCACGUGUGAAAAUGACCUCGACGACGGCGAUUACUUGCUCAUCGGCAGUCAGGUGAACAGAAUCUGGACUCCGAGUUACUUCGACCUGUCCGCUCUGAGCAAUGAGGAUGUGCUGCAAGAAAGUGGUCCGCAGGAAGACGCCACCCCUGUCUUGACGAACACAAGCACCAUCUGGACUGCCGAUGAAAAUAACCUUCUUCUGUUUUGUCUGGCCAUAUUGUUCGUCCUUGUUGCCGCAGCCAACGUGACAUCCAAAAGUGUGCUGACUUUCACCUGGUUUAUGAAGUCCAAUACUUGUAAUGAUAGAGGGGGGAGGCUGAGAGGAAGGCCAUUUAGCCUCGACUCCGAGACCUGACCCAGUCUAGCGCCAUCCUCAGCAGGGCCUGCAAGGACGUGGAUGAGGAAAGAACUUUGCCUUCGAUCAGCAGAGUCGAUUUCCUGAUGGGACGUGAAUGAGAACAGGACUUGCAUUGUUGCAGAAUGCAGUGCCUUCAUCCCCGCAACAGUAUACACAGUAUAUUGCAUGGAACAGUGCUUACAUCUUCACGAAGCGUUAUAGUUAGGGCUGACAAACGCUGCAAUGGAAAAAACAUUCAACAGACACUUUAUAACAUAUAUAACAGAAAAAAAAUAUUAGAUAUAUUUAUAAACACACAACCGCACACAUACACAUCCACACACACAAACACACACACACACACACACACAAACACACACGCACACACA
This 1410-nucleotide unclassified non-coding RNA is filed under the name Penaeus japonicus. Its description in RNAcentral is "uncharacterized LOC122248950, transcript variant X1". The record is from RNAcentral. Lineage: Eukaryota; Metazoa; Arthropoda; Malacostraca; Decapoda; Penaeidae.